Long non-coding RNA from Carlito syrichta (Philippine tarsier), 359 nucleotides. RefSeq lists it as uncharacterized. The record is from RefSeq and is a predicted model, not a curated record. The transcript has 2 exons. NCBI's taxonomy places the organism in Eukaryota, Metazoa, Chordata, Mammalia, Primates, Tarsiidae.
CUUCCGCCUCAGCCUUCCAAGUAGCUGGAACUACAGGAGGCUCAGGAAGGGUCUUCAGGGACACUGACAGGUCACAGGAAGGUGGUUGAGCCCCGUGCUCGGAGGAGGAGGUUGGGCCGGGCAGGACUGAAGGGGACUUUCGGCCGUGCAGUGUGCAUAGGAGCAACUCUGAAGACCGCCUGGUGCUAAUCUAGACUCUUCUCCAGCACAGGAGGCCCAGUCAUUUGGCAGAAGCAGACUUUGCAGACCACACUGUCUGUCACGACUUGCCAACUCCUGGUUAGCAGAAAAAUGGCCGCAAACCCUGUGAACGAAGGGUUACGGCUGUGUCCCAAUAAAACUUUAUUUGCAGAAACAAG